RNAcentral lists this ribosomal RNA (452 nucleotides) under uncultured bacterium. RNAcentral describes it as "bacterial SSU rRNA". It matches the Rfam family "Bacterial small subunit ribosomal RNA", at positions 355 to 825 of the family's 1533-position model. The record is from RNAcentral.
UGGGGAAUAUUGCACAAUGGGCGCAAGCCUGAUGCAGCAACGCCGCGUGAGGGACGACGGCCUUCGGGUUGUAAACCUCUUUUAGUAGGGAAGAAGCGAAAGUGACGGUACCCGCAGAAAAAGCACCGGCUAACUACGUGCCAGCAGCCGCGGUAAUACGUAGGGUGCAAGCGUUAUCCGGAAUUAUUGGGCGUAAAGAGCUCGUAGGCGGUUUGUCGCGUCUGCUGUGAAAACUGGAGGCUCAACCUCCAGCCUGCAGUGGGUACGGGCAAACUAGAGUGCGGUAGGGGAGAUUGGAAUUCCUGGUGUAGCGGUGGAAUGCGCAGAUAUCAGGAGGAACACCGACGGCGAAGGCAGAUCUCUGGGCCGUAACUGACGCUGAGGAGCGAAAGCAUGGGGAGCGAACAGGAUUAGAUACCCCCGUAGUCCCUGAGCGGGCUGGCAAGGCGCAU